GAUGAAGAACGCAGCGAAAUGCGAUAAGUAAUGCGAAUUGCAGAAUUCAGUGAGUCAUCGAAUCUUUGAACGCACAUUGCGCCCUGUGGUAUUCCGCAGGGCAUGCCUGUUCGAGCGUCAUUUCAACCCUCAAGCCCCGCUUGGUGUUGGGCCCCGCCCGCUGUGGCCGGCCCUAAAGACAGUGGCGGCGCCGCCUGGCCCUCAGCGUAGUACAUCUCUCGCUCCAGGGUCCGGGGGCCGCCUGCCAGAACCCCCCAACUCUGUGGUUGACCUCGGAUCAGGUAGGGAUACCCGCUGAACUUAAGCAUAUCAAUAAGCGGAGGA
This 324-nucleotide unclassified non-coding RNA is filed under the name soil metagenome. RNAcentral describes it as "partial contains 5.8S ribosomal RNA, internal transcribed spacer 2, and large subunit ribosomal RNA". The stretch from base 1 to 120 matches the Rfam family "5.8S ribosomal RNA", at positions 35 to 154 of the family's 154-position model. The record is from RNAcentral.